Molecule: long non-coding RNA, 1827 nt
Organism: Pantherophis guttatus
Lineage: Eukaryota; Metazoa; Chordata; Lepidosauria; Squamata; Colubridae
Source: RefSeq, a predicted model, not a curated record
AAUUGCUUUGGUUAAGUGAAUCCCAAAGUCAGUGAAGAAGAAAUUUACAAGUCCCAGGCGAGCAGGCAGUAUGAAGAAGACGUUUCAGUUUUUGAAGCUGGGAAGAAGGAAGGAGUGAGAGUAUUUUCCAUUUUAGAAAUACUGAGGCACAAAACACAGUUGCUUCUAGAAUUUUCAUACAUGAAAUCCUUUGUCCUGUAUGUGCAUCAUGUGUAACCGUAAAGUCUGUAAACUGCUCACUAUUCGUCUCUGAUGUCCAAUAAGAACAACUCCAAUUCUUCUAAUGUCACUGCAAGAUAAAGGUUUUCAAAGUCUACUGGAACAAAAUACAAAUGUUCUUUAUAUAUAUAAUUUUAGACUGGACUACUUUCCUGCAGUUGCAACAGAACUGGUCUUCGAACUACUCUACUUACAAAAGUCCACUAUAAUUUGCUUAAGAGAAAAGAAGGGAUUCUCUUGCGAGAAGCAGACAGAAAUAACUGAAUAAUUUGAUCUUACGAAUUCAGUAUAGGUGGAAUAAGAGAAAGGUAUAGAAUAGAACCUUGAAAUGCUCCAAAAUUUGCACCUUUCAAGUGUUUGGUAAAUAGUUUAUAGCUUAAAAUGUUGUUCUGAGAGAAAAAUACAUUUUAAAAAAUAUUUCAGUAUAUAUUUUAGACGGACAUUUUUCCAUUUAAAAUCCAAAAUGGGCAGAGUAGAUUGGCAAAAACAUUGAAACCCAAUAAUAUAGGGUAAAUAAAAUCCAAUCUGAAGAUUUAUGUCUAAUUUUAUCUCUAAUUUUGCAAUAACUGUUUUGUAUAAGGGCCUGUCUACUUUCAACAACUAUGGCUCCUCUAAACAACUGACAGAGCAUUUAAAAAUAAAAAUAAUUCACUGCUACAAAUUAGGAGAAAAGCAUUGUUAUCUCUAAACAUUUCCAUUUAGCAGUUUAAAUAAGAAACAUUGUUGAGAAAUGUAAUUUCCAUGGGGCUGUUAAGGACAAAGUAACAGCUAGAAGUCCCCUAACAAUAUCUGCUGUAACUGCCAGAAAAUUCAGAUCUGCAAAAUGAUAACCACAAAUCAUGUAAAUGAUCUACUGAAAAGUUUGGUUGACAGUAGAUUAGUUGUCCGUAGGUUUAUUCUACAAUAUUGCUUAUAUAACAAGGAUCUCUAUGAAAAGUUCUUAAAAAGGAACAAUUUUCCCGAAUCUCAUCACAAAAGUCGUCAUAAAAAAAUACAAAAGAAAACCUUGAUAAACUUUAAAAAAUGUAAGAACUUGAAAUCAAGUGCUUUGGACUGACAAAAGAAAAACAACUAUUUUGCCAUAACCAUAAAGGAUCUACUUGUAUAAAUGUGAAAAGAAUACUUUAAGCUAACUAUUAAGCUUAUAUGUUGUGCUGUAUAUGGAUCGGGAUACUGCCUCAUCCAGGACUAGAAGGAAUGUUACAUAAAUGGAGAAAGUAGAUUCGGCUAAAUCUCAAUAUAAUCUAGAAAUUAGUAUUCCUCAGUGAAGUGACUCUGGGCGUUUUCACAAGACAAUAAUUAUAACCAUAUCUCCAAGUGAACUAUGAAACACUAACAGCAAAGAAAAAUAAAGAUUUCAGAAUGGCUUUCAAACUUGAAUAGUAUUGACAAUCUUUUAGAAGAUGUUAAACAUGCAGCACAUGCAAGGAAAGCUGAGAAUAUUUUUGAGUUGGAAGAAUUCUAAAAGUUAAAGUCUUGAAAAAAUCUGUGUGAUGGAAUAAAGAAGAAUUGAAGAGAAAUUAAAUUCUAUGACAAUAUUUGAUUGAAUUAAAAAUUAAGACUGUUAGAAGUAAAAGAAAGGAAAAUAAAGUUGGUUUAAAUGAUCAA